RNAcentral lists this ribosomal RNA (274 nucleotides) under uncultured bacterium. RNAcentral describes it as "partial 16S ribosomal RNA". It matches the Rfam family "Bacterial small subunit ribosomal RNA", at positions 523 to 796 of the family's 1533-position model. The record is from RNAcentral.
AUACGGAGGGUGCAAGCGUUACUCGGAAUCACUGGGCGUAAAGCGCGCGCAGGCGGGCUGAUAAGUAGGAUGUGAAAGCCUACGGCUCAACCGUAGAACUGCAUCCAAAACUGUCAGUCUAGAGUGUGGGAGAGGAAGAUGGAAUUAGUUGUGUAGGGGUAAAAUCCGUAGAGAUAACUAGGAAUACCAAAAGCGAAGGCAAUCUUCUGGAACACUACUGACGCUGAGGCGCGAAGGCGUGGGGAGCAAACAGGAUUAGAAACCCCAGUAGUCC